CCUACGGGGGACAGCAGUGGGGGAUAUUGCACAAUGGGGGGAACCCUGAUGCAGCGACGCCGCGUGGGUGAAGAAGCGCCUCGGCGCGUAAAGCCCUGUCAGCAGGGAAGAAAAUGACGGUACCUGAAGAAGAAGCCCCGGCUAACUACGUGCCAGCAGCCGCGGUAAUACGUCGGGGGCAAGCGUUAUCCGGCUUUACUGGGUGUAAAGGGGGCGCAGACGGCGAUGCAAGCCAGGAGUGAAAGCCCGGGGCCCACCCCCGGGACUGCUCUUGGAACUGCGUGGCUGGAGUGCAGGUGGGGCAGGCGGACUUCCUGUUGUAGCGGUGAAAUGCGUCGAUAUC
This 343-nucleotide ribosomal RNA is filed under the name uncultured bacterium. RNAcentral's name for it is "partial 16S ribosomal RNA". It matches the Rfam family "Bacterial small subunit ribosomal RNA", at positions 338 to 698 of the family's 1533-position model. The record is from RNAcentral.